Molecule: RNA transcript, 3117 nt
Organism: Mustela lutreola (European mink)
Lineage: Eukaryota; Metazoa; Chordata; Mammalia; Carnivora; Mustelidae
Gene: FGGY
Gene name: FGGY carbohydrate kinase domain containing
Exons: 18
Source: RefSeq, a predicted model, not a curated record
AGUCUCCUGUUAAUGAGGCUCUCUGCCUGGCUCUUGGCCUGAUGAUCACUGGCCUGGCUCUUGGUGGGAUCAGCUGAGGAGGACCUGCUUGUGGGAGGCCCAGAGGACUGUUGAUUAAGGAUGAUGGGGGAACAGACCAGAGAGGGUGGAGGGACCAUAAUGCUUGGCGGAGAUCAGGAACCAGGGAACUACUACGUGGGUGUGGACGUUGGAACAGGAAGUGUGCGUGCGGCUCUGGUAGACCAGAGGGGCAUCCUUUUGGCUUUUGCAGACCAGCCGAUCAACCAGUGGGAGCCUCAGUUCAACCACCAUGAGCAGUCCUCCGAGGACAUCUGGGCUGCAUGCUGUGUUGUCACAAAGCAAGUUGUACAAGGGAUUGAUGUAAACCAAAUCCGAGGGCUUGGGUUUGAUGCCACGUGUUCUCUGGUGGUUUUGGAUAAGCAGUUUCGUCCUUUGCCAGUAAACCAUGAAGGGGAUGCCCACCGAAACAUCAUCAUGUGGCUGGACCACCGGGCGGUCAGUCAGGUCCGCAGGAUCAACGAGACCAAGCACAGCGUCCUGCAGUUUGUUGGCGGCAUCAUGUCCGUGGAGAUGCAGGCCCCGAAGCUUCUGUGGCUCAAAGAGAACUUGAGAGAGACGUGCUGGGAUAAGGCAGGACAUUUCUUUGAUCUCCCAGACUUCUUAUCGUGGAAGGCAACAGGUGUCACAGCACGGUCUCUCUGCUCCCUGGUGUGCAAAUGGACAUACUCUGCCGAGAAAGGCUGGGAUGACAGUUUCUGGAAGAUGAUUGGAUUGGAAGAUUUUGUUGCAGAUAAUUACAACAAAAUAGGAAACCAAGUGCUGCCUCCUGGAGCUUCUCUUGGAAAUGGGCUCACACCAGAGGCAGCGAAGGACCUUGGCCUUCCUGCUGGAAUUGCGGUGGCAGCUUCGCUGAUUGACGCCCACGCAGGAGGCCUAGGAGUGAUUGGAGCAGAUGUGAGAGGGUAUGGCCUUGCCUGUGAGGGACAGCCAGUGACGUCACGGCUGGCUGUCAUCUGUGGAACAUCUUCUUGUCACAUGGGGAUCAGCAAAGAUCCAAUUUUUGUACCGGGUGUCUGGGGCCCUUAUUUCUCAGCCAUGGUCCCUGGGUUCUGGUUGAAUGAAGGUGGUCAGAGCGUUACUGGAAAACUGAUAGACCACAUGGUGCAGGGUCAUGCUGCCUUCCCUGAACUACAAGCCAAGGCCACAGCCAGAUGCCAGAGUGUAUAUGCAUAUUUGAACAGUCACCUGGAUCUGAUUAAGAAGGCUCAGCCUGUGGGUUUUCUCACUGUUGAUUUACAUGUUUGGCCAGAUUUCCAUGGCAACCGGUCUCCCUUAGCAGAUCUGACACUGAAGGGCAUGGUCACCGGGUUGAAACUGUCUCAGGACCUCGAUGAUCUUGCCAUUCUCUACCUGGCCACAGUUCAAGCCAUUGCUUUUGGCACCCGCCUCAUCAUAGAGGCCAUGGAGGCGGGGGGACACUCUAUCAGCACGCUUUUUUUGUGUGGAGGCCUGAGCAAGAAUCCUCUUUUUGUACAGAUGCAUGCGGACAUCACUGGCAUGCCUGUGGUCCUGUCGCAAGAGGUGGAGUCUGUUCUUGUGGGCGCUGCUAUUCUGGGUGCCUGUGCCUCGGGAGAUUUCGCUUCUGUACAGCUCUCUUCAGCUCCUGAGAAAGAUCUGCUGCCUACGAGUCAGAAGUCCCAAGUUCUAGGUCAAGGUUUGGCAUCUGCUGAUUUUGUGAUCUUCCCUGGGUGUUGUCCAUUUCCUGCUCUGAGGCAUUGCCAACACUGUGGUAUUUCACCACUGAAUCCACUGUGCACAGAGGAGGCAAUGGCAAGAAUGAGCAAAGUUGGGAAGGUCGUGUUUCCCAGACUUGAGGAUAAAAGAUACUAUGACAAGAAAUACCAAGUCUUCCUGAAGUUGGUUGAGCACCAGAAGGAAUACGUAGCGAUCAUGAAAGGAGACUGAAGAGACCUUGCAGGUGUCGGUGCCAGAAGGUCCUUCGGGGACCUCUGUCUUCUCAUCUUACAUUCGAGAUCCUUUAGCAGAUGUAUAAAUAUCCAGGAGGCCCCUUCUGAUGCUCAUUGGUUGAUCAAAGUCCUGUGUUAUUGCUCUUGGCAAGCAGAGUGGUAAAGUGAGAAAGCCUCCAGCCAUGGAGUCACUGAGUCCUUCACAUCACAGCUCCCCUGCUUACUAAUGGACGUGGUAUGUGACCUCCCGCGAGCCGGUUGACCUCUGCGUCUCUGUUUCUUAUCUUAAAAUGUAGGAGGAAAGAAAAUCUGCCUCGUGGCUGAUGUGAGGAAUAAAUGGGAUGAUGUUUCCAAGUGCCCGGCACCAUGCCUCACAUAAAAAAGAAGUACCACAAAUGCCACUUUUUCUCCUGAACCGGUCUGUUUCUGCGUUAGCAGAUUUCUAGAAGCAUUGCUUCAGGUCAAGGUGGACAACAUCAUCUCCUGUUUCUAGGAGUAAAUCUUCUGUGUUCCAUCAUCAACAACCCAGCCAGCUAUUGAGCUUUUGCAAUGUCAGGAGAUCUGGAACAGUCCCUGUUGAUGCACGAAGGGGCCAGCAUUAGGCUUGAGAGAGAGGGGACAGACAUAUCCAGGAACAGAUUUCACAGAAAUGUCGAGCGAGGUGCCAAUGAGCAUCAGAGUUGAUAGGCACUUCAAGAGGCCCAAGGAUGCCAGUAACAUGGGUAUGUCUGGAGAGACUCAUCCAGAAAUGAGCCAAGUGGAAACAUGUCCAGCCCUGCCUUUCUGAGAUCUGUUAAGCUCUAGGUACUGAACAUCUUCUCCCUUUAGAUUCAGCUCUGCUCCAUCCCUGAGGUAACCAAGGCAGAGCAGGCCAUAUGUAUCCGGUUCAGACCACCCCCAGCUUCCUGCCAGUGGGUCUGGAAUUUAUCUUUUUACCAUUAGCCCCUGGGCACCUGGAGCCCCACCAAAUCAGAGACUUCUCCCCUAAAAUAUAAAUACAUGUUUGUCAAACCCAGCAUGACCCCUUAACGCUGUGCCAUGAUCCUUUGCUAAUCACAAAGCGAGAGAAAUGUUGAGUCCUCCCACGUGGCACACUGCUUUAUUCCUAAGCCCUACGUCAAAGUCCACA